This is a long non-coding RNA of Magnolia sinica, 802 nucleotides long. RefSeq lists it as uncharacterized. NCBI's taxonomy places the organism in Eukaryota, Viridiplantae, Streptophyta, Magnoliopsida, Magnoliales, Magnoliaceae. The record is from RefSeq and is a predicted model, not a curated record. The transcript has 2 exons.
GGAGGUGGAGGUGGUUGUGGUGGUGGCGGUGGUGGAGGUGGAGGUGGUUGUGGUGGUGGCGGUGGUGGCGGUGGUGGCUGCUAAAGAUAUAUAGUUCACGUCAAUUACUUUAGGUGAAACAAUAUUACAUAAAGACAGCUUAAUAUUAAGCAUGCAGCCUUAUCUUUGCUGCCAAAUUCUCAUGCAGGACAUCCGAGCCAUCCAAACGCUGGGCCCCACAAUGAAUGCCAAAUGUCCUGAAGUCUUGUCGAUUUGCUCAUUAAGGAGGGUCCCACUCGGACGUGGAGUCAGACCAUUCGCCGUUUCCUUGAUUUUAAGGAUCUGAAUAGUGAUCUUAAUGGUGGGGCCUAUUUCUACUUUACAUGGAUCGCAUGUUCCAGAAGAAUGGGUUGUAAAUGAUAAAUUACUCGGUACAUUUAUAUGCAAUCUUUGUGUUGUAAGGAGAAAUGGUUAAUGCACUCUAUUCUCUAUUAUCUUAUGUCGUUGUUGCAUUUGAAUUUUGAACCGAUAAGAAAAGAUUAUAUUCUUGGCAUUUUGCUCUACAGUGGUUGUCUUGGUGUUUAAUUCCAGUACAUAUAUUUUACGUGUACUCAUUUAUGAGGGCCUACCUCAAGUUGGUUAUUGAAGGUCCAGAUAUCUUGGUAAAGUAGGGUAUAUAAUACACAAGUACUUAGGGCCCGUUUGGCCGGCAGCAUUAGGUGGGAUUAAGGUGGAUGAAAUUGUAAAAGUUAUAAUAAAUGCAUGUGUAAGGUAUUGUCCUUACAUUGUGUAUAUCUCAUGUUUUCUAAUAUUAUGUUUGAAA